GGCGCACGGGUGAGUAACGCGUAGGUAAUCUACCCUUAUAUCUGGGAUAACAUUGGGAAACUGGUGCUAAUACCGGAUACACUUCCAAGCUGCGGGGCGAGGGAGGAAAGGUGACCUCUUCAUGAAAGUUACCGUAUAGGGAUGAGCCUGCGUACCAUUAGCUAGUAGGUGGGGUAACGGCCCACCUAGGCGACGAUGGUUAGCGGGUCUGAGAGGAUGAUCCGCCACACUGGAACUGGAACACGGACCAGACUCCUACGGGAGGCAGCAGUGAGGAAUAUUGCGCAAUGGGGGAAACCCUGACGCAGCGACGCCGCGUGAGUGAGGAAGGCCUUCGGGUCGUAAAGCUCUGUCAGAAGGGAAGAAGUGUUAUACGGUUAAUACCCGUAUAAUUUGACGGUACCUUCAGAGGAAGCACCGGCUAACUCCGUGCCAGCAGCCGCGGUAAUACGGAGGGUGCGAGCGUUGUUCGGAAUUACUGGGCGUAAAGGGCGCGUAGGCGGCUGGAUAAGUCAGAUGUGAAAGCCCACGGCUUAACUGUGGAAGUGCAUUUGAAGCUGUCCGGCUUGAGUAU
RNAcentral lists this ribosomal RNA (574 nucleotides) under uncultured delta proteobacterium. RNAcentral describes it as "bacterial SSU rRNA". It matches the Rfam family "Bacterial small subunit ribosomal RNA", at positions 97 to 649 of the family's 1533-position model. Lineage: Bacteria; Deltaproteobacteria. The record is from RNAcentral.